AGCCUUGAUUCUCCUUCAUUUACACGACAAAAUCUUUUGCCUUUUACUAAAGAUUUCCGUGUAGGAGAAAACCACAAUGGGUAAGGGUAUUUUUUGCCGCCCGCCGGAUUUUCCAGGCGG
This is a small nuclear RNA of Dendronephthya gigantea, 120 nucleotides long. RefSeq annotates it as U5 spliceosomal RNA. The transcript has a single exon. Lineage: Eukaryota; Metazoa; Cnidaria; Anthozoa; Malacalcyonacea; Nephtheidae. The record is from RefSeq and is a predicted model, not a curated record.